RNAcentral lists this long non-coding RNA (2069 nucleotides) under Homo sapiens (human). RNAcentral describes it as "non-protein coding lnc-GOLGA6L22-1:2". Lineage: Eukaryota; Metazoa; Chordata; Mammalia; Primates; Hominidae. The record is from RNAcentral.
GGUCCACGUGGACAGCUGUUCUCCUCGGCCAUGGCUGACUCUUCUUAGAGACCACCCCAUCCACUCUCCCCACAAGAUGGUUGUGACACCCAUGAGGGGUUGUACAUGGAAGCACUUUUUGCAAAUGACAAAGUUCUGCACAAUGCACACCUUGCUGUCACCAUUGGGGCCAUGUGGCCUUGGACACAGAUGCAUGGGCUUCAGGGUCUAGUUCCCCAUGGUGUCCCCUAAAGAGACAUCCACCACUCAGCCUCCCAUGAGGUUCGCUGGCACCGCCCUCCCCGCCAUAACUCUGUCUCCUUACUUCCAGCUUGCAGAAUCCUCCUGAGGGAGCUGGAGGAGACUCAGGACCUGACCAACCUUCUGGAAAGAUGAGAUUCCCCUUCUCUCCAUGUCGUCCUUUCUACCAGGGCCUCUGAGGCAGCCCCAGGGUCCAGUGUUGACCUGGGAGGGGGAGGUCCUGGGAAGAGGCGGGAGUGGACUGAAGCCCUGGGCAGGCACAGACAGAGCUCUGUGAAGCCAGCAGUGGCGGAGGUGGAGGAGCUGUGGGCACCAGGUGCCCAGCCCUCCCGACCUCCCAACCCCACCUGCCCCUGGCUGCAGCUUGUGCCUUGUGCAGCCACCUGAGAAAGCUCACUGGGGAGGGUGGCUCCCAUCUGCCCUUAGGUGGAGAGCCCUGGGUGAUAUGUACAAACCAGCUCCUGCUAAGGCCCACCAGCCGCAUAGGAAAUGCAUGCAAGAUCCAUCUCCUGACAGCUUGUCCCCAAGGACUCCCCCAGUUCCUCUGGCCUCCAACCUGUCACCAGACACAAUGACCUUCUCAGAGCCUUUUGGACCACGCUCAACCCUGAGUGCCUCCAGGCCUCCAGAGCCCUUGCUUCCCCUAAAAUGCCCUGCAGUCCGGCCACAUAUGCUUUUCCUUCUUCACCACAGCCCCAUGUUCCCGUGGCCUCCUCUCCACCUCCACCCGAACACAGCCUGGCUGGACUUCAGUGUGGCUCCACAAUACGCCCUGUCCCCCAGAGCUCCCCUCUACACAACCAGGGGCCACCUUCUCCAACCAGGGUGAUCUCUGGCCUUGGGUGCUCCAGCGGUCCCAUCCGGGACCUCUCCCGCUGGAGGGAGGCUGCCACCACCUGGGGCCUCUCCACCUGCUCACAGGGCAAAUCCCAGCAACAGCAUCUUCCCAACCACCCCCCAGAGGCUUCCUUCUGGGGAGACCCCACACCCAGGCAGAUGGAGGCAGGUGGCCGCACAUUCUUCCAUCCCAACGUGCAGAAGCUGCUGGAGACUCAUCUCCAAGAGAGCAGUGAUGAAGAUGUGGCAGGAGAAAGAAUGGGGGUGGGCAGACUACCCGCAGAUGACAUCACUGGGGAAGGAGUGGGACAUCACGACUCUAAAUCCCUUCUGGAACGUGGCAAACCUACCACAGAAGCUGCCCCAUCCUCAGCAGGUCUCUGACGCCAUGGCCAUGUGGGACCACUUAGAGCAGAAAUGCAGCCAUCUCUUCUGGGAUCUCCCCUCUUUCAAUAGCGAGUCCCUGGUGACCAUGGCCUGGGUUUCUAGGAACAUUUCCUCACAGAAUGAGCACUCUGUACCAUCGGAUAAAGCCUCCACUUCCCUUCCAGGUGAAACUGAGGUUGAGACACCCUCACAGCUUUCCCAGGCACGGCCCCAGCCCCACCACGUGGCCCAGCCCCAACCUUUCACUCCAACCUGGCCCCAGUCCCAGCCCCCGCCUCUAGCUGGGAUCCAGACACAGUGGGGCAAAUCUCAACCCCUGUCCCAACCUCUUCUCCACCCCAGAUUAGGGUCUGUGGAGCAUCUUGCCCUACAUCCCAGAAGAGGGCACAGUCUGUCAUCCCCACUGGAAAAAAGUAUCUUGAGUGGCCCUUGCAGAAAUGACCAAAGUGGAAGAGGGUUUUGCCCUCUCUCCUCAAAAAGUCUCAGGCUGUCCUGAGCCAGCCCACUUCCCACCUUCCCCAGGAGAGGCCAGCCUCCCUGAACCCUAAGUCAGCCCCCAUCCUUCCCGGGAUUGCCACCAGCCCUGAGCUCCCAGAGCACCGGUG